UUAAUACUUAAAAUUCAUAAAGAUCGGCUGUCCAUAGCGUAAGUGGCAAAGGCUUGGCGGUUGAUAGCGAAAAUUUCGAGUUCGAAUUCUAAUUGAUUUUUCGAAUUCUAGUUUAUUUAUAUUUCUAGCUAAAUUUAUUUUUAAAAAAUUAUAAGAAACGGAUAGCAUACAAGUAGGGAUGUCAAUGGGUAUGAAUACCGGAAAUAUUAUCUAAAUCCGAACCCGAACGGGACGGGUUUAUCCGAGUUAAACGGGUAUGGAUUUAGUUAUGGGUAUAAAAAGUAAAAAUCUGACGGAUAUAAAAACGGGUAUGGAUUUUGUAUUUACCCGACUCGAACCCGAACCCGAAUCCGAACUCGAACCCGAAUAAAUUAUAUAUAUACAUAUUAUUUUUAUUUAUUUAUAUAAUAUAUAAAAUAUUUAAUAAUUUUUAUUCUUUAGGUCUUCAUUCAACGGCAUGGAUUUUUAGAACCCAUCGGGUUCGGAUCCAUAUUCGGGUUUUCUGCUUUUGGUCGGGUUGAUAUGAAUUUUUAAAAUUUGCCGGAUUCGAAUUCCGAUACGAAUUUUAAUUUGAUUUUCAAGUUCAAAUUCGAAUGUUUAAAAACUCGUUCUAAACCU
Molecule: long non-coding RNA, 618 nt
Filed under: Ananas comosus (pineapple)
Lineage: Eukaryota; Viridiplantae; Streptophyta; Magnoliopsida; Poales; Bromeliaceae
Description: long non-coding RNA (ACOM_LNC014012)
Source: RNAcentral